This 381-nucleotide ribosomal RNA is filed under the name Clostridioides difficile. RNAcentral's name for it is "partial 23S ribosomal RNA". It matches the Rfam family "Bacterial large subunit ribosomal RNA", at positions 2262 to 2642 of the family's 2925-position model. The record is from RNAcentral. Lineage: Bacteria; Bacillati; Bacillota; Clostridia; Peptostreptococcales; Peptostreptococcaceae.
UGGGCAGUUUGACUGGGGCGGUCGCCUCCCAAAAGGUAACGGAGGCGCUCAAAGGUUCUCUCAGUACGGUCGGAAAUCGUACGUAGAGUGUAAAGGCAAAAGAGAGCUUGAUUGCAAGACAUACAGGUCGAGCAAGGAUGAAAAUCGGACUUAGUGAUCCGGUGGUUCUGCGUGGAAGGGCCAUCGCUCAACGGAUAAAAGCUACCCUGGGGAUAACAGGCUUAUCUCCCCCAAGAGUCCACAUCGACGGGGAGGUUUGGCACCUCGAUGUCGGCUCAUCACAUCCUGGGGCUGUAGUAGGUCCCAAGGGUUGGGCUGUUCGCCCAUUAAAGUGGUACGCGAGCUGGGUUCAGAACGUCGUGAGACAGUUCGGUCCCUAUC